AAGUUAGCUAGCUAAUGCUAGUGCUCGCUAUCCGGUGUGUGUUUUCAUUUGAAUUACACUUACUGACUCUGGGUUGUUUUUCACCAACAGUGACUCAAGAGGAGGGUUUGCAUACAGAGGUGGCAGUGGGACAUCUUUUUUGUUGCUCAGGAGGAUCAUUCUGAAGUAAGGAGUGGGCUGUACUCUGUGGGGAGCUAAAACUUAAUCACAGAGUCCCAAUACAAAGAAUCUGCAAACAGACUUGCUGACCUGACCACCAGCUCCGACCACCAGCUCCGACCACCAGCUCCGACCACCACUUCCGCUGACCAUCUAGCUAUGAGCUUCCAGAUCCUCUCAUGACCACAGCUGUCCGGCUGCUGGAGGCUUCAAGAAGCACACGCCAUAAGGUGACCCAGCCACGGACUCUUCUCUCUGCUACGGCGCAGCAAGCGGUAUAUACCAGGCGGUGUCACAGUAAGGCCCAAAAAUGUGUCAAAGAAUCCAGUCACCCAAGUCAUUGACUAUUCUCUCUGCUACGGCGCAGCAAGCGGUAUAUACCAGGCGGUGUCACAGUAAGGCCCAAAAAUGUGUCAAAGACUCCAGUCACCCAAGUCAUUGACUAUUCUCUCUGCUACGGCGCAGCAAGCGGUAUAUACCAGGCGGUGUCACAGUAAGACCCAAAAAUGUGUCAAAGACUGCAGUCACCCAAGUCAUUGACUAUUCUCUCUGCUACGGCGCAGCAAGCGGUAUAUACCAGGCGGUGUCACAGUAAGGCCCAAAAAUGUGUCAAAGACUCCAGUCACCCAAGUCAUUGACUAUUCUCUCUGCUACGGCGCAGCAAGCGGUACCGGUGCACCGAGUCUGGAACCAACAGGACCCUGAACAGCUUCUAGUUCCAAGCCAUAAGACUGA
RNAcentral lists this long non-coding RNA (894 nucleotides) under Oncorhynchus mykiss (rainbow trout). RNAcentral describes it as "lncRNA (ENSOMYG00000069603.1)". The record is from RNAcentral. Lineage: Eukaryota; Metazoa; Chordata; Actinopteri; Salmoniformes; Salmonidae.